AUAUUUUAUGGUAUACCACAAUUAAGCAGAAAGCAUCCAACUGAUCAGAAAAUAAGCUACAAAGAUUGUAUCAACCAAAAAUUGUUGAGGAACUUUUGUUUGGAACAGAAGUGCCCCAGUUGUUUCUAGCAAAUGGCGAAUCGAGACAAUACAAUUGAUGAAGAUUCUGGUGUUAUCUCAUGUAGGACUUGAACGAAGAAUUAUCACUCCUAAGAAUGCGCACUGAAGCAUUGAAUUGGGUCUUGACUUCAGCACAAAAGGCACAAAAGUGGAAAAAC
Molecule: long non-coding RNA, 278 nt
Organism: Lycium ferocissimum
Lineage: Eukaryota; Viridiplantae; Streptophyta; Magnoliopsida; Solanales; Solanaceae
Exons: 2
Source: RefSeq, a predicted model, not a curated record